CUCAAUCUGUUGACCCUCCCCUCUGAAGGCUCUUAGGGCCAGCGGGCCCAGGAGCUCCUAGUCAUGGGAUUUCAUGGACCUAUCACUUUUUAAAAGUUAGGUCUGCUCACUCUGUGUCAUCAAGGACAGACCCAAUGGCCCUAAUACGAACCCACUGCCAUUUGUUAUCUCCAAGCAGCAGAGCUCUCAGCAUCAAGGACUUUCUAAGAAAGGACCAUGGCGAUGGCUUUGUGACCUGCCUGGCCAGGGCCUCAGCUCUCAAGUUGCAGGUGAGGUCAGCCUCAGGAUACCUCCACCACUGACCAGCUGCCGAACCUCUCUGGGCCGCAAUGUCCUCCUCUGAAAAUGAAAAUCAUGGUGUUACCAACCUCA
Molecule: long non-coding RNA, 372 nt
Filed under: Gorilla gorilla gorilla (western lowland gorilla)
Lineage: Eukaryota; Metazoa; Chordata; Mammalia; Primates; Hominidae
Description: lncRNA (ENSGGOG00000044695.1)
Source: RNAcentral